GCAUAUCAAUAAGCGGAGGAAAAGAAACUAACAAGGAUUCCCCUAGUAGCGGCGAGCGAAGCGGGAAGAGCUCAAAUUUAUAAUCUGGCACCUUUGGUGUCCGAGUUGUAAUCUCUAGAAGUGUUUUCCGCGUUGGACCGCACACAAGUCUGUUGGAAUACAGCGGCAUAGUGGUGAUACCCCAUUACACGGUGCGGACGCCCAGCGCUUUGUGAUACACUUUCGACGAGUCGAGUUGUUUGGGAAUGCAGCUCAAAUUGGGUGGUAAAUUCCAUCUAAAGCUAAAUAUUGGCGAGAGACCGAUAGCGAACAAGUACCGUGAGGGAAAGAUGAAAAGCACUUUGGAAAGAGAGUUAAAAGUACGUGAAAUUGUUGGAAGGGAAACGCUUGAAGUCAGACUUGCUUGCCGGGCUUGCUCGGUUUGCAGGCCAGCAUCAGUUUUCCGGGGCGGAUAAUGGCAGUUAGAAUGUAGCAGUCUCGGCUGUGUUAUAGCUUUCUGCUGGAUACGUCCUGGGGGACUGAGGAACGCAGCGUGCCGUAUGGCGAGGGCUUCGGUCCUUUCACGCUUAGGAUGCUGGUGGAAUGGCUUUAAACGACCCGUCUUGAAACACGGACCAAGGAGUCUAACAUGCUUGCGAGUAUUUGGGUGUCAAACCCGGAUGCGUAAUGAAAGUGAAUGGAGGUGGGAAGCGCAAGCUGCACCAUCGACCGAUCUGGAUUUUCUAAGAUGGAUUUGAGUAAGAGCACGUAUGUUGGGACCCGAAAGAUGGUGAACUAUGCCUGAAUAGGGCGAAGCCAGAGGAAACUCUGGUGGAGGCUCGUAGCGGUUCUGACGUGCAAAUCGAUCGUCAAAUUUGGGUAUAGGGGCGAAAGACUAAUCGAACCAUCUAGUAGCUGGUCUGCGA
RNAcentral lists this ribosomal RNA (905 nucleotides) under Rhodotorula toruloides. Its description in RNAcentral is "LSU rRNA". It matches the Rfam family "Eukaryotic large subunit ribosomal RNA", at positions 38 to 961 of the family's 3401-position model. Lineage: Eukaryota; Fungi; Basidiomycota; Microbotryomycetes; Sporidiobolales; Sporidiobolaceae. The record is from RNAcentral.